AUGUACAUUCCUAUAGAAUAUCAUUAUUUCAAUAGAUUCAAUUAGAACUCUGCAUUUAAGCAUGCUCAGAUUAGAGUAGUAUUGGGAUGGGUGACCGCCCGGGAAGCCCUAGUGUUUUACAUG
Picea glauca (white spruce) is the source of this 123-nucleotide non-coding RNA. Lineage: Eukaryota; Viridiplantae; Streptophyta; Pinopsida; Pinales; Pinaceae. The record is from Rfam.